This 19-nucleotide ribosomal RNA is filed under the name Funbolia dimorpha. RNAcentral's name for it is "partial 28S ribosomal RNA". The record is from RNAcentral. Lineage: Eukaryota; Fungi; Ascomycota; Dothideomycetes; Pleosporales.
GUUGACCUCGGAUCAGGCG